ACCAAAGCCCUAACCGUUCCCUCAUGACAGGUGAGGACACAGAGCGCCAGGGAAACCAAAUAAUUAGGCCUGGGUCACGAGGCUAAGAAGAGGCGGCCCUCGACAGUGUCAAAAGAUUCCUCGGACUGUUGAGGCAGCUCAGCCACAGCCAGGUCUCCGGCCUCCCGACAUGCAGGCCUAAGCACUUCCACCACGCUGCAUCACACACAGGCCUUUGUCUCCCUGGCAACCGCGACGCCGUAAACAGCUGUGGCCAGCGACCAGUUAUUUAGCACAUGCCACUCCGCAGCCAUCUUAGUUUGGUGACUUCAAGGAAACACUGCCCUGGUCAGGUGAGCUUAAGAGGAAUGGAAAAUUCCAGGUCAGUGAGCAACACACCCUCCAGGUAUCCUUUCUUCAUCAGCCCUGCCUUCGGAGGCUCCCGGGCCCUUCAGUCCCACCACCUGUUAAUAUUUCACUCUGGGAAGGCUUUCGGGAACAAAGAACACAGCACUGGCCUUGAGGGGCCAAAGGUAGGCAGUCCAGGGUGCAGCUCAUAAAUGGGAAAAGCGCAAACGUGCUUUGAAGGAGAAUGCUGCAGCUUGGCCUCCUGGGAACAACGGGGCUGCUAUUCAUAGAAAAGCCUGUGAUUUGCAUCUGUCUGACAUUUGAAUUAGGCUCACCUAACUAACUGCCUUCCCCACAGAUGUGCCUCGCUGGGUUCUUCUUAGUGUUCCUCCCAGUCCAGGUUUUUGACAAGCGUGGGAGAUGAUUCGCAGCGCUCCCCCUUGGUGGCAGGGGCUGGCCUUCCACCCCUCUACCCCAGGAUUUCACAUUCCCGGCAUACAUGUACGUCUGCUGAGCUCAUAUGGCGAACACUGAGGGGCUGAGGUCACAGGUGAGGAAAGCUGGUAGGAUCACCCCCCCCCCAAAUCCUGGCUAUUCGUUAUUAACCCUUCACCCACACUCCCGGCACCUGGAAAGUCAGAGGUUCUAGUGUGGUUCUGAGCUGGGGGCAGGGAAGAAUCUGGGCCCACUGUAGUCCAAAGUGGCCAGGGCAGUGGUUCUCAGCCUUCCUAAUGCUGGGACCCUUUAAGACAGUUCCUCGUGUUAUGGUGAUCCUCAACUAUACAAUUAUUUUUGUUGCUGCUUCAUAACUGUAAUUUUGCUACUGUUACCAAUCAUGAUGUGAAUAUCUUACAUGCAGGAUAUCUGAUAUAUGACCCCGGAGAAAGGGUCCUUUGACAAGCCCCCACCCCGGAGUCAUGACCCAUCAUGUUGAGAUCAGGCCAGGAAUUUAGGCCUUACAAUGCCCAUCUUUCAAGGAUUCCCUGGAAGGAGUAAUCCCAGUGCCUGACUGGGAACCUAGCUCCACUCCCAAGAAUCCUGAUGGUUCAGGUUCAUCUUGGGCUCAGGAAAAGAACUCUAGCUCUGUACCCCAAAGAAAGUGACCUCAGGAGUCUCUGAGACCUGAGCACCAGCAUAGGUGAGGUUGGUCCUCCGUGGGGCCACUCCACGCCCCCUGAACUGCCUGCCUCACCAACCCGUGAGCCCAGAGAACACGAGAACGGCCAGUGUACCACGAGGCUGGGGCCACGGCCGUGUGCAUCUCUACACGCCUCAGCUGUGCUUUGAUGGUUCUCAUCAAGAUGAGAAACACCCUAGAUGGACUGCCGUCUCAGAUGGAAACACGCCACGCCUGUAUCUCCAUGUGCUGGUGCACAGCCAACACGUGAGAUAGGAGUCCAUGUGCUCCCUGCCCUUGAACCUCUGCCUAUGGCUGCCAGGUUGCUUCUCCAGGGCCAGAGCCCUUAAAUCUCUGCUUUUCUGAAGGACAUUACGCUGCCACUGAUCCAGACUUAAGCAUGUCACCGAGGCUAUCGGUUUGAAUUUUCUAAUUGGAGAAAACUUUCAGAGUGUGUCAACCCAAUGCUACCAUAGAAACAGAUGUGACCACCUAAUGUAUCCGAAAUGGACAUAAAGGGACAACGCUAUGACACAUGCUGUGAUAUGUGAACUGAAAAACCUUUCACCCUCAGGAAAUAUGUGGCCCACUUAGAAAUGAUAUUUUUCAUCAGGACAGAUGAUCCAGGAGUGGUGAACCAUGACAUGGAAGUCGCCUUCCAAGUCUGGCAAAUCGCCAGUCCAUGCAAUGCUCAUGGGUCCUAGCAUGUGACAGGCACUCAGCCCUCACGUCAUAGCCCAACCAGGCCUGGGUGGCCGGCCAUGUAUAGAAAACCUAUAGUCUUGAGAUAGAGUCUAGUAAGUUUCCCGGACUGAAAAUGAACUCACUCUGUAGCCUAGACAAGCCUUGAGCUCUCAAUCCUCCUGCCUCAACCUCCUGAGUGCUGGACUCAUAGGCCUGUGCCACCAGCUGCAUCUCACCCACCAUCUGCACAGCGCAUCCUUGGCAGCACCCUUCCACUUACACAGGGCUCUGCACAACAGCUGGGGUAAGUUCCCAGACCGUAUGCUGAAGCCUUGGCUGUCAUCUUGGGACACUAUUGGGACUUGGUAGAACCUCUGGGAGGUAGAGCCUGGUGUUAGGAAAUCAAAUCACUGGGGUGUUUCUGCAGAGGGUGUGACCUUGGUCUCUUCCUGUUUCUCACUGUUGCCUGGUCACCAUCAGCUCCUUUACAGUACGCUCUUGCCAUACUCUACCUCCUGACAGGCCCAAAGCCAUGGGGGCAUGAAUGGAACUUGCCAUCCGCUGAUUCAAGCGUUCUGCUUUCUUACAGAACCACCUGAAGGGGCGGGCACUACCCUAGAAGCUCCCAAACUCUAGAACUGAAAGUGAGCAGAUGAUAUCCCCUCAGGUAGGGAAGACGGACAUGGUUAGGAAAGGUUUUCCAGAGAAGACAGUGGAAAGAUGGACAGGCCUAGGAGGUCAAUACAGUAUCCCACGCCAGAGGGCAGUAACGAAAAGCUUCACUUGAGAGUGAAACCCCGCCCCCCCCCUGCUGUUACUGUAGCGGGGUGGCUCUGAACUUCAAGGGCAGGGUGACACCUUUGGCCAGGGCAGCUUCCAUCUCAGUCAGCUGUUCCCGAGGACUUUUCUUGUUUGAAAUAGCUGCCCAGAUCCGUUUCCCUAUCAGUUCCAGAGGCCAGAGAUGAGAGAACAGGCUUUGUCCACGUGCAGGGCGGAAGGUGUAACCGGUAAGCUUGGCCCACGCUCAGCUCAGUGGGCAGCCUCUGGCCAGGAGCCAGGCCCGACCGCACCCUAACGUCCAACCAGGAGAAUUUAGACAGACCCUACCUAGCUCUUUUCCCCCACGUGACUAAAAUCCUUAUCAUCCUAAAAGUUGUAAAAACGCCAAAGUUUAACCUUAUUGAAGUCACAUUGUUCUGGUCUUGGCAACCCUAAUGGGAUUUUACCAGUUGGCCUCCAAUGGAGUCCUUGACCAGUCCAGUGUCUGCCAGCGUCCAUGACGGAUGACCUCCAACGUCAGGGACUGCAGCCCACCCGCACUCUCAGCCUCCCGUGACCAUCCAGCGCCCGGGUCACUGUGGCCUUUCAUGAAGGCCUUCUUUCUGUUUUGUUACUCAUGGAAACGGAGACAGUUCCAGGCUCCUGGGCCCUGGGGAGGGCAAAUGAGCGCUCACCAGCUGAUGGUGUUUUCUUCUGGAUUAAUGAAACACAGCGGAGCGUUCAGCUGCCAUUGCAGUGAUUAAUAUGUCAGAUUGGUGUCACAGGAGAAGCAAGCAAGGAAAGUGAAGUUUGAACAGAAGAGGAAGAACAGAGACCCAAAGAAGGAAAAGGGAAAAGAAAGGAGUAGGUGUUGGGAGGGCACCAUUCCUUGGACUGGCGCCACCAGGCUGAGCCCCAAGGGAAAGGUCGAGGUCUCUCUGCCUCAUACUGAUGGGAAAGAGGUCUUGUUAUUGAAAAAAAGACUCUAGGACACUUCUUAGCUUAUCCGGCCACAUCCUGGGGUAUGAGAGAUGUGGAGCACUUCAGGGGUUCUGCUUAUUUGUUUGUUUUUUUGGUUUUUU
Myodes glareolus (Bank vole) is the source of this 3969-nucleotide non-coding RNA. The record is from RefSeq and is a predicted model, not a curated record. Lineage: Eukaryota; Metazoa; Chordata; Mammalia; Rodentia; Cricetidae.